This is a long non-coding RNA of Myzus persicae (green peach aphid), 197 nucleotides long. RefSeq lists it as uncharacterized. The record is from RefSeq and is a predicted model, not a curated record. The transcript has 2 exons. NCBI's taxonomy places the organism in Eukaryota, Metazoa, Arthropoda, Insecta, Hemiptera, Aphididae.
AAACGAUAAAUUUGUAACAUGCAGUAAGAAUUCGUUAUAAGUAUUUUCAAACACAUCAACUGAACUUGCAUGCUUACAAAAACAGCUGUUACAAUAUUUAAACAAUUUGAAUGUUUCCAGUGGCCAUUUGAUUCCACAAAUUGGGGGCCAAAAGAAGACAUUAUAUUUUUAUUAGGUUGUACUCCGUGACAUACUUU